This 334-nucleotide long non-coding RNA is filed under the name Elaeis guineensis (African oil palm). RNAcentral's name for it is "long non-coding RNA (EGUI_LNC064588)". The record is from RNAcentral. Lineage: Eukaryota; Viridiplantae; Streptophyta; Magnoliopsida; Arecales; Arecaceae.
AGUGUAUCCAUGGAUAGGUUCAUAACUAAUUAUUUCUCCACAUAAUUUCUAGCAAUUAGAUUUUGCCCCAGGCAUCCCUUCAGAAGGCGUGUGGCACCUCCAUUGAAAAUCUUAGUUAGGUCCAACCAUUAACAUGAUAACAUCAAGUGCAUCCAAGAAAUAAAUAUCCAGGACCAAGUGUGGCUCGACCAACCUGAGCAUUGAUCUGAAGGUACAAUAAGAUGGUCAUAUGAUGGAUGAUAAUUUCAAUAUGUAAUAGACACCAGGUGUGUGGCACCUCCAAUGCUUAUUUGGAAUAUUGGACUUAUUAUUACGUACCUUAGUGGGAGGCUAU